ACAAGUGCUGAGUAAUUAUGAGUCUAUAAAUAUAUGAGAGUUGAUGACUUGUUGAUGGAAAGAUUUAUAUAUGUAUAAUGAGUUCAAAAUAUUCGUCACCAUAAAUCGAAGGUCGGGUCAUUGCCACUAAAAGUGUCUGUUAAAAAUGAUAUUGUUGGAUACUUUGUUAUUUUUAUUUUAAGAAUGAGAAUGGGUGAUAUUAAUAUUGGGAUUAAACUUGAGAGGAUUCGAGUGGAAUCAUUGGAGAACAAAUACUUGGACAUGAGAAUCUGCUCUAUCGAAAUUAAAACAACUGGAGCGUAAUUUUGAAGAGUAUGAGGGAGCGAUCGUAAGUAAGAUUUAUCCGAGAUGUCUUGAGCAGAUUUUAUAAAAGUUGGGAGUGCAUUUGACAUAAUUCAAUAAUUACGUCAAUAAAAGGGUAUAAAAUGGACGAGAGUUUGUGGAAAAUCUCAAGUUGUCCGCGAGCGUUACUGCUAACAAGAUCUCAAAUUCGGAUUGAUAAUUAUUAACAG
Long non-coding RNA from Microplitis mediator, 512 nucleotides. RefSeq lists it as uncharacterized. The record is from RefSeq and is a predicted model, not a curated record. The transcript is spliced from 2 exons. Lineage: Eukaryota; Metazoa; Arthropoda; Insecta; Hymenoptera; Braconidae.